RNAcentral lists this ribosomal RNA (1020 nucleotides) under Clostridium perfringens. RNAcentral describes it as "partial 23S ribosomal RNA". It matches the Rfam family "Bacterial large subunit ribosomal RNA", at positions 417 to 1440 of the family's 2925-position model. The record is from RNAcentral. Lineage: Bacteria; Bacillati; Bacillota; Clostridia; Eubacteriales; Clostridiaceae.
ACGAGACACGUGAAACCUUGUGGGAAGCAGGGAGGACCACCUCCCAAGGCUAAAUACUACCUGAUGACCGAUAGUGAAGCAGUACCGUGAGGGAAAGGUGAAAAGAACCCCGGGAGGGGAGUGAAAUAGAACCUGAAACCGUGUGCCUACAACCGCUCAGAGCCCCUUAUGAGGGUGAUGAGGUGCUUUUUGUAGAACGAGCCAACGAGUUACGGUAUGUAGCAAGGUUAAGUACUUAAGGUACGGAGCCGAAGGGAAACCGAGUCUGAAUAGGGCGACUAGUUGCAUGCCGUAGACCCGAAACCGGGUGACCUAUCCAUGGCCAGGUUGAAGCGAGGGUAAAACCUCGUGGAGGACCGAACCACGUUGCUGUUGAAAAAGCAUGGGAUGAGCUGUGGAUAGCGGAGAAAUUCCAAUCGAACCCGGAGAUAGCUGGUUCUCUCCGAAAUAGCUUUAGGGCUAGCGUCGAGUAUGAGUAGUGGAGGUAGAGCACUGAAUGGGCUAGGGGGCAUAGCGCUUACCGAACCUUAUCAAACUCCGAAUGCCACAUACUUUGAGCUCGGCAGUCAGACUACGAAUGAUAAGAUCCGUGGUCAAAAGGGAAACAGCCCAGAUCGUCAGCUAAGGUCCCAAAGUGUAAGUUAAGUGGGAAAGGAUGUGAGAUUUCUAAGACAACUAGGAUGUUGGCUUAGAAGCAGCCAUUCAUUAAAAGAGUGCGUAAUAGCUCACUAGUCGAGAGAUCUUGCGCCGAAAAUGUAACGGGGCUAAACUUACCACCGAAGCUACGGGCUUGAACUUAGUUCAAGCGGUAGGAGAGCGUCGUAACCGGGCUGAAGUCGUACCGUAAGGAGCGGUGGACUGGUUACGAGUGAGAAUGUUGGCAUCAGUAGCGAGAUGUGGGUGAGAAUCCCACAGGCCGAAAACCUAAGGUUUCCUCAGGAAGGUUCGUCCGCUGAGGGUUAGUCGGGACCUAAGCCGAGGCCGAAAGGCGUAGGUGAUGGACAACUGGUUGAUAUUCCA